RNAcentral lists this unclassified non-coding RNA (253 nucleotides) under uncultured Thermomicrobiales bacterium. Its description in RNAcentral is "contains 16S-23S intergenic spacer region". It matches the Rfam family "Bacterial small subunit ribosomal RNA", at positions 524 to 776 of the family's 1533-position model. Lineage: Bacteria; Pseudomonadati; Thermomicrobiota; Thermomicrobia; Thermomicrobiales. The record is from RNAcentral.
UACGUAGGGACCGAGCGUUGUCCGGAGUUACUGGGCGUAAAGGGCGCGCAGGCGGCCGGCCGCGUCGGGUGUGAAAGCCCUCCGCUCAACGGAGGAGCGUCACUCGAAACGGGCUGGCUGGAGGCAGGGAGAGGUCGGUGGAAUUCCCGGUGUGGUGGUGAUAUGCGUAGAGAUCGGGAGGAACACCAGUGGCGAAGGCGGCCGACUGGACCUGACCUGACGCUGAGGCGCGAAGGCGUGGGGAGCGAACGGG